RNAcentral lists this ribosomal RNA (407 nucleotides) under uncultured bacterium. RNAcentral describes it as "bacterial SSU rRNA". It matches the Rfam family "Bacterial small subunit ribosomal RNA", at positions 355 to 776 of the family's 1533-position model. The record is from RNAcentral.
UCGGGAAUAUUGCGCAAUGGAGGAAACUCUGACGCAGUGACGCCGCGUGCAGGAAGAAGGUUUUCGGAUUGUAAACUGCUUUAGAUAGGGAAGAAAAAAAUGACAGUACCUAUAGAAUAAGCUCCGGCUAACUACGUGCCAGCAGCCGCGGUAAUACGUAGGGAGCAAGCGUUAUCCGGAUUUAUUGGGUGUAAAGGGUGCGUAGAUGGAUAAACAAGUUGUUUGUGAAAUACCUCGGCUCAACUGAGGAACUGCAAGCAAAACUGUAUAUCUUGAGUACUGGAGGGGAAAGCGGAAUUCCUAGUGUAGCGGUGAAAUGCGUAGAUAUUAGGAAGAACACCGGUGGCGAAGGCGGCUUUCUGGACAGAAACUGACAUUGAGGCACGAAAGUGUGGGGAGCAAACAGG